AACUGUAACACAGGGAGCUGACUGGAAGCACCUCACUGUCCUGUUAAGGCCAAGCUGGCAGUGAUGCUCAACCCUAGAGGAAAAAUUCAUCACUUAUGUCACUCCAACUGCACCUAUGGCUUCAUACCGUCACGUAUCCUGUUCUAAGCUUGACCUGGCCAGGGUUGUCCUUGCACUUGAUGAAAAGCACCACCAUACAGCAUCACCAAAGAAGUUUCUCCCAGCACCAUCUUUCCAGCUGGCUGGAUACUGGGGCCAAGUGACUGCUGGGAUUCAGCAGAGCUUUCCUGCAGAAAAAGGAUAGCCUUUAUUUGAAGGUGGGGGGCAGCAAGAUCGAUUGCCUUAACUUCAGUUGUUAUGCAGGGAAAUAAUUGUCAUCCCAGAAAGACACUACGCAUCUGAGGGCCUUUGGAGUAGGUCCAGAGGAGUGGAGCAAGAGCAAGCUCAGGGAAAUAUGAUCCAUGAAGAAACCCCAAACUGAGGCUGUUCAGCUCCUAGAAAUGAACACUGACAACAAACAUGGUCAUGGUGUUUGUUCCCCUGCUGAAAAUCCUGGUGAAAAAGAGCAAAGAGAUUCAUCCUCUCCAAACAGAGAGAGUAGAAAAAUUAAUUAUAGGCUUGAGCUGCCAAAAGGUGGAAUUAGGCUGGAUGUAGCAGCUUUUUUUUCAGAGAUGGUUAUGGGAAGGUACCACAACUAUGAUAGAGAGAGAUAUAAAGGGAGAUUAGACAGAAAUAGUUUUUCUACUUUGGAGAUGCAUCUGAAGUGUUUACACACCCUUUGACUGUAUUUUCUCCUAACAACUCUUUCCUUUUCCCUUACCAGUAACUCAUUGCAUUUCUUCCUACUCUAACACUUCCAAAUAAAGAUUUAUUGCCUUCCAUAAAAGGUAUUUACCAGUGUGUUGCUCCUUUCCUAUACUUCCACUUCCCUUUUGCAGUUCUAAUCUCUCAGUUGCAGCUAUCUAUGAAGAUGUAAUCAAUAAAUGAAAAUAAAUUGAAAAAAUACAAUGUGAGGAGGUGAAUUGGAUUUUUGGUGGCCUGCCAGCUGGCCUUUGGAUUUGCAUUUACAAGUCUCUCAUAAUCAGCUAUUUCCUGAUUUACAUCUUGUACUUAAACCCAAACUGAUGGUCUUAAACUUGGUGUCAAUGUUUUAGCAGUAGCUAUGUGCAUAAGAGUUUUGUAGUUAUAACUGCUUUAUUUUAUAUUUUUCUGAUGAGAUUAACAUUUUGCUGUCAUUUUUGCCCACAAGUUCCUUGGCUUUUACAGUGAUGAGGAGCUUGGAGACAAUUCCAUACUUACAUUAUGCUAAUUCCAAAACUGUUUCAUGUAAACUAAAUAAACUCUCCUCACAUGAGGUACAGAACGGGCAUCCUUCCCAGAGAGUGUCCUAAUGGACUAGCUUCUUUUGAUUGUCUUUAAUUCUUUCCCUUUCCCUUUUUCAUCAUACUUUGCCUCUUACUCUCUAGUUUGAUGAAUUUUGUUCUUGGUGAUAGACCUGCUUCAAUAAAAAGAUAAGAAAAUAUUCUGAAUAAGGGUUUGCAUGGUAGAUAAGGCAUUUUUUUUUCAAGGAGGAGGGCUUUCAAUAAAAGAGGCAGAAGAUAGACUUCAGAUCCAGUGGGCUUCCCAUCACCAAGCUAUUGUAGAAAUGGGAAGGAAGACCACCUCUCCCUUUCCCUGCAAGGAAUGAACAAACAUUAUGCUUUUGGUGGUGGUUAGUUUUUUGGUUUUUCUUGACCCAAAACUUGUGAUAAUAAAUCAAAAUCAUAUAAAUUUUAAUAACUAUAGCUGGAACAAAUAUUAUUAGGAGAAAUCAAGUCAAUGAUUAGCCAUAAUGGUGCUCAGACAUUGCUGUCUCAGGCUCUGGGUGGAGGCCAAGUCAACGAGUCUGUAACACACUGUUAUCUUGGACUAUAUUGAACAACAUCUGGGGUUUGAUUAAAAAUAUAUUUAGCUAUACUUUCAAAUUCUUCUAUGCAGCAGAUUUAUCAUUACAGCUUUGUCCCAUUUCCCAGGGCUCAUGCUUCGUGCUCCCACUCGUUGCAUCCCAUGGCUGCUACCAGCACUGGUACAAAAUUACAGUGCCAUCAUCCACAGGUUUGUCAAAUGUUGUUUGUCACCACGAAGAGAGCUGUGGGCAGAACUGCCAACAGAUG
This is a long non-coding RNA of Empidonax traillii (willow flycatcher), 2153 nucleotides long. RefSeq lists it as uncharacterized. Lineage: Eukaryota; Metazoa; Chordata; Aves; Passeriformes; Tyrannidae. The transcript has 3 exons. The record is from RefSeq and is a predicted model, not a curated record.